CACUGUGUUUUAAUAUUUGAUUUAAAGUUGCCACUGUGUGUUAGUUGGCUGUUUGAGGGUGAAACAUUUUGUUUUAACCAGCUAAGAUUAUACGCUAACGUUCACCACAUUUUAGCUCCAGAGUAGAGAAAACAACAUUUUAACCAGUUAAAGACAUUUUCUCUCCAUAGUCCAUAGAUUUAUCUGCAGUGGCUGUUUGUGAGCAGUAAAAACGUUGUUUUAACCAGUCAUAUGGAUAUUUCCACUUGCUAGAGACUCGUUAGCUCGGAAGCUAAUGGAAAUUGCAGUUUACAGCAGUUAAAUAUAAAAUAUAAAUAUUUUAAACUGAUAUUUUUUUGUUUUUUUGUUUUUGUCUUUCCACCUACUGUGCUGGAGAGUGAGCUGAAGUUUCCUGAUUCUCCUCAUGGAUGCAGUCUGAUUAAUCUGCAUUAUUUUAUAAUUAAUAUAACAUGUUACUUUGACAGCCCUAAAAGUAAUUAAAAACUGUGGAGAAGUCAAUGAAUGUAUUUAAUAACUAUAUGUGAUUUAGUUAUGUCCACUAUCUUGCAGACCACGCAGCCAACAGACAUAAGGUGCCUUCAUCUUCGGGGAUGAUCCCUCUGAAUUCUUCUAAACCUUCCCUGACGCAAGUGACAAGGACUGGUACAGUCAGAUGCGAGUGGGAAUCUUUUGCAUUGACGAAAAUCCUCCGCUCAACCCAUCCAGAGUAGGCAUCGUGUUGGAGGGAGUUGUGGUCAUGGAGGAGCUGGCCAACCUACCACAGGCCUUCUGUGAUCUUUUUGGACUGAUUUAUGCCUUGCACUUAGAUUACCCUAAAUGCAUGAAAAACACCUUCCAGUUCAUUCAGCAGGUGAUGCUCAACCUGGGCAGAGGUGAGCUUGCACCAAAAAUCCAAACACUGAAAAAUCAACUCUCUGUCUAAAACAGUGUUCUGAAAUAUACCACUGUUAGAGAUAUCAGUGCUUGGUGCUGUUGCAUGUCUAAAAUACCAUGUUUACUGUUUUGCACUGAUAUGUUUUUAAGUAUUUCCACUGUCUUUGUGUCUUUCUGAUGAUGAUCAGAUGAUGGUAUUUGUACUGAUCUUGCAGUUUGGUUCCAUCCGUAUUGCUAGGCAUGUUUUAUGGUUUUAUUAUGGUUUUAUUAUUAGCAGGACUUAGGGUCCUUGUAGUCCUCCAGCAAUCCUGUCAUAGUGGGAGCAUGGAAGACACUGGCAUUGUGCACAUCAAAGCUAAAGUUGUGGUUCCACUUUCCAAUUCGUGCAUGUAGAGAGCAGCAGAAGUUAACAGUGAAGAGGCAGUCUUCUUUCCCUUCUAAAAUAUGUUAUAUACCACCAGGGUCAACCAAGAACAAAUAAGAUGGUUUAAAAAUGUUUCCUGUGCCCCAAGUUAAAAUAAAACAUGAAAAGAA
Dicentrarchus labrax (European seabass) is the source of this 1407-nucleotide long non-coding RNA. RefSeq lists it as uncharacterized. NCBI's taxonomy places the organism in Eukaryota, Metazoa, Chordata, Actinopteri, Moronidae. The record is from RefSeq and is a predicted model, not a curated record. The transcript has 2 exons.